AGUGAACGCUGGCGGUAGGCCUAACACAUGCAAGUCGAACGGCAGCACAGUAAGAGCUUGCUCUUACGGGUGGCGAGUGGCGGACGGGUGAGGAAUACAUCGGAAUCUACUUUUUCGUGGGGGAUAACGUAGGGAAACUUACGCUAAUACCGCAUACGACCUACGGGUGAAAGCAGGGGAUCUUCGGACCUUGCGCGAUUGAAUGAGCCGAUGUCGGAUUAGCUAGUUGGCGGGGUAAAGGCCCACCACGGCGACGAUCCGUAGCUGGUCUGAGAGGAUGAUCAGCCACACUGGAACUGAGACACGGUCCAGACUCCUACGGGAGGCAGCAGUGGGGAAUAUUGGACAAUGGGCGCAAGCCUGAUCCAGCCACACCGCGUGGGUGAAGAAGGCCUUCGGGUUGUAAAGCCCUUUUGUUGGGAAAGAAAAGCAGCAGGUUAAUACCCCGCUGUUCUGACGGUACCCAAAGAAUAAGCACCGGCUAACUUCGUG
This 492-nucleotide ribosomal RNA is filed under the name uncultured bacterium. RNAcentral describes it as "partial 16S ribosomal RNA". It matches the Rfam family "Bacterial small subunit ribosomal RNA", at positions 29 to 507 of the family's 1533-position model. The record is from RNAcentral.